This 97-nucleotide signal recognition particle RNA is filed under the name Nitrospirota bacterium. RNAcentral describes it as "Nitrospirae bacterium (sediment metagenome) signal recognition particle sRNA small type". It matches the Rfam family "Bacterial small signal recognition particle RNA". From Rfam's summary of the family: The signal recognition particle (SRP) is a universally conserved ribonucleoprotein involved in the co-translational targeting of proteins to membranes. Archaeal SRP consists of a 7S RNA and homologues of the eukaryotic SRP19 and SRP54 proteins. RNAcentral also lists the same sequence under 1 other name. The record is from RNAcentral. Lineage: Bacteria; Pseudomonadati; Nitrospirota.
GAAAUGGCCCUGCGCAAUAGAAAGUUGUGAACCUCGUCAGGUCCGGAAGGAAGCAGCGAUAAGCAUCCUACUAUGUGCCGCAGCAAGUCGUUUCCCG